RNAcentral lists this ribosomal RNA (450 nucleotides) under uncultured fungus. RNAcentral's name for it is "partial 18S ribosomal RNA". Lineage: Eukaryota; Fungi. The record is from RNAcentral.
UGUUGAAGUUUUGAAGUUGUUUUCUACUAAAAGAAAUCUUGUGUUGACUGAAUUAGUUUAAAAAAAUAUUUGUUUGUGUUUGCAUCCACUGGGAGAACUCCCUCCCGAAAGAGAGCGUUCCCCCAACGAACAAAAGAAUAGUAGUAAAGUAAACUCCACUGUGUGUAGUAAUUAGAAAGUGUCGAGUCGUGUGAUAAAACACCUCCUUUGGAAUAGAGAGAUCCACGCACACUCCCAGGUCUUUGUCGGCUCCCUCCCCCCACUGCAGAACACCCACCAACCGCGCACUUAAGCGCAGGCAGGAGAAAUAGCAUUCACAGCAGAGAAAACAUUUUAGGAGCCUCCUGAGUGUCUACACUGGUCCUCCCCAGAGAUGUCUCUCUCCGAGCUCAGACAAAUCAAUUAAAUUUCUUUAAUGAUCCUUCCGCAGGUUCACCUAAAUCGAAUUCC